AGAGCCUGUCAUUAGGGGGGUAGGCAGACUGGGGUUAUGCCUGAGGGGGCCUGGUUUCUAAGCAGAGGCUGGGAUGGGAAGGAGGUGGAUUCCAAUUCUAGGAGGUGCCCUGGGGAAGAACCAAAGAAUAGCUCUGGGUCUGGUAGGAGCUGCAGGACCGGGUCACAGGGUGGCCUGAGUGAAGUCAGAGCCAGGCAAGGCCAUCUGCCAGCCCAGCGUCCCCAGAGCACAGGUCUGAGAGUCCUGGUGCCAACGGAAGCCAGGACCUGGAGAAGGGACAGAAGGGCCGCCGGACCCUGGAGCCCUUUAAUGCUGGCGGAGCCUGGGUUCUUUCCGCAAGAAAAGGCACCUGAGUUGGAGUACGCAGGGUGAAUCCAUUCCACCCUCUUCCCUGGACUGGCUCCAUCUCACUCUACCUACCACCGGCAGCCAACAGGGAACUUCCGGCCACACUCCAUGGGGCCAGGCUUUUGCAUGACUUCUCCCCAUUUGGGCACACACUGGAUGAGAAAAUUCCAAAAGAUGCCUUUGGCUCACCUCUCUCAGCAUCCUUGAAUUUGAUUGUCUUACGCCUGGGCAACCGGGGAUUGGCAGUCACUUCUGCCAGGAAGCCGGAGCUACAGAAGCCCAGGCUGCUACCCCUGCUCCUAAGGACCAGCUUCAGCUCUUGGUUCUCCUGGAUGAGCUGCACCAGCCGCCGUAGCUCUUCGUUCUCCUGUGCCAGCCGCUGGAUCUCCUGUCGCAGGCCCUCAUAGCUGCUGAGAAGGGACAUGCCCAGGAGUGGGCACAGCAGCUGCCCAGUAGUCAGUGGGCUGGCCAGGAAAAGGAGACUCUGUCAUUGUGAGGUCAGCAUCUGACCCCCACCUCUGCAUUCCAAGACUGCCACGGCCCAGUCUUCCUGUCUGCAGCAGGUUUCAACUGAUUUCUGAUUUCUGGCUGUGAAGCUUGGACCACCAGAGAGGCCCAGACACUGCCACGGGCCUUUGGAUUUCUUUAUUAAGCUCUUCCUGGAAGAUAGAAGUUUCUCUGUCCCACUCCAGCUUAGGUUCUCCAUGGAUUUCCAUGUCCUUUCCACAGCCCAGGAAACUCUGGCAAGAGUCCUGCGUUUGUGGCGAUGAAGUAGAGGACGGGGAAGAACCACCUGGAGCUAUGCUGCGGGAGACUGGAUACCACUGAGCCAUCUCUCUAGUCCCAAGCACUGACAAUUUAAAUAAUUCUACAAGGAAACAACCUUAAUCCCAGGAAACACAGGAUGUUUCCGACAGAACAGAGAUUUCAGCCCAUAUGAAUGGCAGGCCCAGUAAAAUUAAACGCCCAGAUAGACA
This is a long non-coding RNA of Peromyscus maniculatus bairdii (prairie deer mouse), 1325 nucleotides long. RefSeq lists it as uncharacterized. Lineage: Eukaryota; Metazoa; Chordata; Mammalia; Rodentia; Cricetidae. The record is from RefSeq and is a predicted model, not a curated record.